AGUGAACGCUGGCGGUAGGCCUAACACAUGCAAGUCGAACGGCAGCACAGUAAGAGCUUGCUCUUACGGGUGGCGAGUGGCGGACGGGUGAGGAAUACAUCGGAAUCUACUUUUUCGUGGGGGAUAACGUAGGGAAACUUACGCUAAUACCGCAUACGACCUACGGGUGAAAGCAGGGGAUCUUCGGACCUUGCGCGAUUGAAUGAGCCGAUGUCGGAUUAGCUAGUUGGCGGGGUAAAGGCCCACCAAGGCGACGAUCCGUAGCUGGUCUGAGAGGAUGAUCAGCCACACUGGAACUGAGACACGGUCCAGACUCCUACGGGAGGCAGCAGUGGGGAAUAUUGGACAAUGGCGCAAGCCUGAUCCAGCCAUACCGCGUGGGUGAAGAAGGCCUUCGGGUUGUAAAGCCCUUUUGUUGGGAAAGAAAAGCAGCAGGUUAAUACCCCGCUGUUCUGACGGUACCCAAAGAAUAAGCACCGGCUAACUUCGUG
RNAcentral lists this ribosomal RNA (491 nucleotides) under uncultured bacterium. RNAcentral's name for it is "partial 16S ribosomal RNA". It matches the Rfam family "Bacterial small subunit ribosomal RNA", at positions 29 to 507 of the family's 1533-position model. The record is from RNAcentral.